UCUGCCCGUGGACGCUGCCGAAGAAGCAUCGUUAAAGUCUCUCUUCUCCCUGCCGUCAUGUCUAAGUCAGAGUCUCCUAAAGAGCCCGAACAGCUGAGGAAGCUCUUCAUUGGAGGGCUGAGCUUUGAAACAACCGAUGAGAGCCUGAGGAGCCAUUUUGAGCAAUGGGGAACGCUCACGGACUGUGUGGUAAUGAGAGAUCCAAACACCAAGCGUUCCAGGGGCUUUGGGUUUGUCACAUAUGCCACUGUGGGGGAGGUGGAUGCAGCUAUGAAUGCAAGGCCACACAAGGUGGACGGAAGAGUUGUGGAACCAAAGAGAGCUGUCUCAAGAGAAGAUUCUCAAAGACCAGGUGCCCACUUAACUGUGAAAAAGAUAUUUGUUGGUGGCAUUAAAGAAGACACUGAAGAACAUCACCUAAGAGAUUAUUUUGAACAGUAUGGGAAAAUUGAAGUGAUUGAAAUCAUGACUGACUGAGGCAGUGGCAAGAAAAGGGGCUUUGCCUUUGUAACCUUUGACGACCAUGACUCCGUGGAUAAGAUUGUCAUUCAGAAAUACCAUACUGUGAAUGGCCACAACUGUGAAGUUAGGAAAGCCCUGUCAAAGCAAGAGAUGGCUAGUGCUUCAUCCAGCCAUAGAGGUCGAAGUGGUUCUGGAAACUUUGGUGGUGGUCGUGGAGGUGGUUUCAGUGGGAAUGACAACUUCGGUUGUGGAGGAAACUUCAGUGGUGGUGGUGGCUUUGGUGGCAGCUGUGGUGGUGGAGGAUAUGGUGGCGGAUAUGGUGGCAGUGGGGAUGGCUAUAAUGGAUUUGGUAAUGAUGGAAGCAAUUUUGGAGGUGGUGGAAGCUACAAUGAUUUUGGCAAUUACAACAAUCAGUCUUCAAAUUUUGGACCAUGAAGGGAGGAAAUUUUGGAGGCAGAAGCUAUGGCCCCUAUGGCGGUGGAGGCCAAUACUUUGCAAAACCACGAAACCAAGGUGGCUAUGGCGGUUCCAGCAGCAGCAGUAGCUAUGGCAGUGGCAGAAGAU
Molecule: RNA transcript, 1026 nt
Organism: Macaca mulatta (Rhesus monkey)
Lineage: Eukaryota; Metazoa; Chordata; Mammalia; Primates; Cercopithecidae
Gene name: heterogeneous nuclear ribonucleoprotein A1 pseudogene
Source: RefSeq, a predicted model, not a curated record